CCUACGGGGGGCUGCAGUGGGGAAUAUUGGACAAUGGGGGGAACCCUGAUCCAGCCAUGCCGCGUGUGUGAAGAAGGCCCUCGGGUUGUAAAGCACUUUCAGUGAGGAAGAACGCCUGGUGGUUAAUACCCAUCAGGAAAGACAUCACUCACAGAAGAAGCACCGGCUAACUCCGUGCCAGCAGCCGCGGUAAUACGGAGGGUGCGAGCGUUAAUCGGAAUUACUGGGCGUAAAGCGCGCGUAGGUGGCUUGAUAAGCCGGUUGUGAAAGCCCCGGGCUCAACCUGGGAACGGCAUCCGGAACUGUCAAGCUAGAGUGCAGGAGAGGAAGGUAGAAUUCCUGGUGUAGCGGUGAAAUGCGUAGAGAUCGGGAGGAAUACCAGUGGCGAAGGCGGCCUUCUGGACUGACACUGACACUGAGGUGCGAAAGCGUGGGUAGCAAACAGGAUUAGAUACCCGUGUAGUC
RNAcentral lists this ribosomal RNA (465 nucleotides) under Vreelandella stevensii. RNAcentral's name for it is "partial 16S ribosomal RNA". It matches the Rfam family "Bacterial small subunit ribosomal RNA", at positions 338 to 795 of the family's 1533-position model. The record is from RNAcentral. Lineage: Bacteria; Pseudomonadati; Pseudomonadota; Gammaproteobacteria; Oceanospirillales; Halomonadaceae.